GUAGUCUCGCACAGAUGCAUAUCAAUAAGCGGAGGAAAAGAAACUAACAAGGAUUCCCCUAGUAACGGCGAGUGAAGCGGGAAGAGCUCAAAUUUGAAAUCUUAAAGGGUUUCCCUUUACGAAUUGUAGUUUAAAGAAGUGUUUUCUGUUGAGGUUUUGGUAAAAGUUCUUUGGAAUAGGACAUCAUAGAGGGUGAGAAUCCCGUAUUUGACCUUUACUUUCAACUUUGUGAUACACUUUCAAAGAGUCGGAUUGAUUUGGGAAUGCAGUCCAAAAUGGGUGGUAAAUUUCAUCUAAAGCUAAAUAUUGGCGAGAGACCGAUAGCGAACAAGUACCGUGAGGGAAAGAUGAAAAGAACUUUGAAAAGAGAGUUAAACAGUACGUGAAAUUGUCAAGAGGGAAGCGUUUGACACCAGUGUUGUUUUUCUGAAAAUCAAUUAAAGAACUGUUUAUGCUAAGCUGUUUAGACUUUAUCAGCUAUCUGUUUAGUUUUGAGCUUUUCUUUAAUGCACUUUUCAGUUAACAAGUCAACAUCAAUUUCUUUUGCUGUAAAAAAGCUUGAGGAAGGUGGCUUGAGAUUCGUCUUAAGUGUUUAUAGCCUCUUGCCUAUGCAGUCGGAGAGAUUGAGGUCUGCAGCGUAGAUCCUUCGGGGCUAAAUGCAUUUGUGCUAAGUUAUAGCAUUUUAUAGACAACUUGUUGACUAUGAUUUGUCUUGUAGCUUACUCGCUUAUGUUAUUUUACCUACGCUUAGGAUGUUGAAGACUCUACAGAGAUA
This 775-nucleotide ribosomal RNA is filed under the name uncultured Neocallimastigales. Its description in RNAcentral is "partial large subunit ribosomal RNA". It matches the Rfam family "Eukaryotic large subunit ribosomal RNA", at positions 24 to 633 of the family's 3401-position model. Lineage: Eukaryota; Fungi; Neocallimastigomycota; Neocallimastigomycetes; Neocallimastigales. The record is from RNAcentral.